CCUUCCCUAAGUGUUGCAGGAGUGGCUACUGUGUCACAUAUGCAUCAGUAGGUGGCAGAGAGGAGAAAGGCUAAGUGUCCUGACCUGUGAACAUCUGAAUGAUUAAUUAGU
Molecule: small nucleolar RNA, 111 nt
Organism: Rattus norvegicus (Norway rat)
Lineage: Eukaryota; Metazoa; Chordata; Mammalia; Rodentia; Muridae
Product: small nucleolar RNA SNORA17
Source: Ensembl